UACGUAGGGGGCAAGCGUUGUCCGGAUUUAUUGGGCGUAAAGAGCGUGUAGGCGGCCAGACAGGUCCGUUGUGAAAACUCGAGGCUCAACCUCGAGACGCCGAUGGAAACCGUUUGGCUAGAGUCCGGAAGAGGAGAGUGGAAUUCCUGGUGUAGCGGUGAAAUGCGCAGAUAUCGGGAAGAACACCCGUGGCGAAGGCGGCUCUCUGGGACGGUACUGACGCUGAGACGCGAAAGCGUGGGGAGCGAACAGG
Molecule: ribosomal RNA, 253 nt
Filed under: uncultured bacterium
Lineage: Bacteria
Description: partial 16S ribosomal RNA
Rfam family: Bacterial small subunit ribosomal RNA
Source: RNAcentral